Molecule: ribosomal RNA, 207 nt
Filed under: uncultured bacterium
Lineage: Bacteria
Description: partial 16S ribosomal RNA
Rfam family: Bacterial small subunit ribosomal RNA
Source: RNAcentral
CGCGUAGGUGGCCCGGUCAGUCAGUGGUGAAAGCGCGGGGCUCAACUCCGCGUCGGCCAUUGAUACUGCUGGGCUCGAGCACUGUAGAGGCAGGCGGAAUUCCGGGUGUAGCGGUGGAAUGCGUAGAGAUCCGGAAGAACACCGGUGGCGAAGGCGGCCUGCUGGGCAGUAGCUGACACUGAGGCGCGACAGCGUGGGGAGCAAACA